This 67-nucleotide transfer RNA is filed under the name Salmonella enterica subsp. enterica serovar Typhimurium. RNAcentral's name for it is "tRNA-Gly". It matches the Rfam family "tRNA", at positions 10 to 71 of the family's 71-position model. From Rfam's summary of the family: Transfer RNA (tRNA) molecules are approximately 80 nucleotides in length. Their secondary structure includes four short double-helical elements and three loops (D, anti-codon, and T loops). Further hydrogen bonds mediate the characteristic L-shaped molecular structure. tRNAs have two regions of fundamental functional importance: the anti-codon, which is responsible for specific mRNA codon recognition, and the 3' end, to which the tRNAs corresponding amino acid is attached (by aminoacyl-tRNA synthetases). tRNAs cope with the degeneracy of the genetic code in two manners: having more than one tRNA (with a specific anti-codon) for a particular amino acid; and 'wobble' base-pairing, i.e. permitting non-standard base-pairing at the 3rd anti-codon position. Lineage: Bacteria; Pseudomonadati; Pseudomonadota; Gammaproteobacteria; Enterobacterales; Enterobacteriaceae. The record is from RNAcentral.
GCUCAGUUCGUAGAGCACGACCUUGCCAAGGUCGGAGUCGCGAGUUCGAAUCUCGUUUCCCGCUCCA